Loxodonta africana (African savanna elephant) is the source of this 71-nucleotide transfer RNA. It matches the Rfam family "tRNA". Rfam says of the family: Transfer RNA (tRNA) molecules are approximately 80 nucleotides in length. Their secondary structure includes four short double-helical elements and three loops (D, anti-codon, and T loops). Further hydrogen bonds mediate the characteristic L-shaped molecular structure. tRNAs have two regions of fundamental functional importance: the anti-codon, which is responsible for specific mRNA codon recognition, and the 3' end, to which the tRNAs corresponding amino acid is attached (by aminoacyl-tRNA synthetases). tRNAs cope with the degeneracy of the genetic code in two manners: having more than one tRNA (with a specific anti-codon) for a particular amino acid; and 'wobble' base-pairing, i.e. permitting non-standard base-pairing at the 3rd anti-codon position. The record is from Rfam. Lineage: Eukaryota; Metazoa; Chordata; Mammalia; Proboscidea; Elephantidae.
GCAUUGGUGGUUCAGUGGUAGAAUUCUCACUUCCCACGUGGGUGACCGGGGUUCGAUUCCCAGCCAAUGCU